RNAcentral lists this ribosomal RNA (450 nucleotides) under uncultured bacterium. RNAcentral's name for it is "partial 16S ribosomal RNA". It matches the Rfam family "Bacterial small subunit ribosomal RNA", at positions 354 to 796 of the family's 1533-position model. The record is from RNAcentral.
GUGGGGAAUAUUGGACAAUGGGCGAAAGCCUGAUCCAGCCAUGCCGCGUGUGUGAAGAAGGUCUUCGGAUUGUAAAGCACUUUAAGUUGGGAGGAAGGGCAGUAAGUUAAUACCUUGCUGUUUUGACGUUACCGACAGAAUAAGCACCGGCUAACUUCGUGCCAGCAGCCGCGGUAAUACGAAGGGUGCAAGCGUUAAUCGGAAUUACUGGGCGUAAAGCGCGCGUAGGUGGUUUUGUAAGUUGGAGGUGAAAUCCCCUGGCUCAACCUGGGAACUGCCUCCAAAACUGCAUGACUAGAGUACGGUAGAGGGUAGUGGAAUUUCCUGUGUAGCGGUGAAAUGCGUAGAUAUAGGAAGGAACACCAGUGGCGAAGGCGACUACCUGGACUGAUACUGACACUGAGGUGCGAAAGCGUGGGGAGCAAACAGGAUUAGAUACCCGGGUAGUCC